Molecule: long non-coding RNA, 561 nt
Organism: Manis pentadactyla (Chinese pangolin)
Lineage: Eukaryota; Metazoa; Chordata; Mammalia; Pholidota; Manidae
Exons: 2
Source: RefSeq, a predicted model, not a curated record
AGUUCUCGGAACCCAGGGUUGGGGUUGGCCGGUCCCUAGGCCAGCACUUCCAGGGCUGGCUGGAGCGGACAGCAGGCUUCUGCAGCCCGGGACUCAGAGAGAAGCCCCACGGAAGGCUUCCGAGGAACGGGAGACCUGGGCCUCGGAGCUGGAGUGAUCACUCAUAGAUCCCUAGCAAGAUCCUGCCAGUUCUCAUCUUGGCGUUUUGCCAGCUGCAGCAGUUCCAGGGAAACAGCGCCUUUCUCCCAAGCACCCUGCAAGGCUCAGCGGCAGCCCAGGCCACCUGCCCCCGAGAUGGGUUCCAGACCCCCACGGACUGCGUCGGAGGAGGGCUCAGGCAAGGAAGACCACAAAGAUGAUGAAGAAGACAAUGAGGAUGAGGAAGAUUUUGACCAUGAGCCACCGGUUGGAGGUGACCGACUGGAAGUACUUGAGGAUCUCUGAAUGGGCGGCCUCAACAUCCAGCUGGGCUCCCAGCACGUUCUCGUCGAUCCUGGGGGCAGAGCCGGGGGGAGAGGACAGAGAAGGACACUGGAUUAAAAAGAAUGCUGUUGAAGCAUA